Zonotrichia leucophrys gambelii is the source of this 1463-nucleotide long non-coding RNA. RefSeq lists it as uncharacterized. Lineage: Eukaryota; Metazoa; Chordata; Aves; Passeriformes; Passerellidae. The transcript has 3 exons. The record is from RefSeq and is a predicted model, not a curated record.
AGAGAGUUGGAGUUUUUUGGUUGUCCUGUGAAGGAGUCAGUGCUAUGAGGAGUUGGCCAUGAGAAAUCACCCAGAAUGUAUGGGCUUUUGCAAUAAGAUGGCAACAGUUGGUGACCCUGACCUGGUUCUGACAUGAACCUGUGGUGGUUUGGGAAAAAGGACUUAAAUAUUAAGCAAUGUGAUCCCAAGGUGAUUCAGGAAGAUUACUGCAGGCCUAAGAGAAAUUACAGUGGAGUUAGGCAGACCAAGAGUCUGAGAGCCUAAAAAUCCAGAUGAGCUAUAGCCAGGCAGACCAGGGAGCCUAGAAGUCAGGACAAGGUAUGAGAUACCACCCCCAAGAAGAAGAGUGCUGGAUAUGAGGAGUGGACACUAUGCACUUUGCUUAGUUGGUGCAUUGGAUCAAGCCCCGUGCCCCCUGCCAAGGAAUGGCUGCAGUCCAGAGGGGACCCAGCAUGUGCAGAGUUCCCCCGGAAUGGCAGUCUUUUGUAUAACAGCAGGGAUUUGGGGUCUAGACCAACUCCUGUUGACUGUUUCUCCUCUGUUAAAAUGAGAGUCUCUGUCUCACCAAGGUGCUUUGAAGUUAAAUGGUUCCUAGGAAUCAGACCAAGCUGACAAUCAUGCCUGAAAAUCUGGGCAUGAGUUCAGAUGGGAGCCCUCACAGUGGACUUGAUGACUCUAAAAACAUUGCAAGGAUCGCUAUAAGGAUGCUGCAGGGUGGCUGUGACCUGCGGGUGAAUGAGAGAAUUCACGGUGGACAGCUGAUGACAGCCUCCUCCUCAGGCCCCUUAGAGGGAGCCCCUGCUCCACAGAUGCCCCGCUACAGACACUGGCAGAUCCGGGCUCUGCCCCGGGCUGCCCUCACAUACCCGCUAAAGAUCCAGAGUUGUUCAAUGGGCACCUCUGCCAGCUUGUCUGCCUUGCAAAAUCCUAAAGCACCUUACCUAACCAUCUCUGUUGAAAUAAAGAGGAGCAUGGAAGCUGUUUGUUCUUUGAAGCCUAUUACAGCAAUCUCUUUUUGUACUGGUGACUUCUGUGAGGUUGAUAUCUGGAAUCCAGACAAAGUGUUAAGCUUUUAAGAAGGUGUAAUUUGAGCACCUGCUAAGAGGGAUUGGGCCUGUGUGCUGCUGUGCCAUCCCAGCCUGUGGGCAGCAUUUGUUCACUGUGAUGUACUCCAAUGGUAUCCAGCAUCUAUCUGCUUAUUCAUUGCACACAAAUAAGCCAUUCCUGGAAGAACUGAAAGAGCAGUGGUUGGGCUGGCCCUUCCUGAUGAGGCACUCUGCUAAGUGUUCCUGCCAGUUUUUUGAUUUUUUACAAAGUCUAGGAGAAAUGGGUGUGCAUUCAUCAGUUCUAAAGCAGUAGAGGAGUACUCUGUUGUUUGAGGUUCUUCUUUAAGGGAUAUAUUUGUCUGCUUCCCCAUCAAAUGGAAAGGCUGGGUGUUGAAUAAAAAUUUCAUCAAUGUAGAA